Molecule: ribosomal RNA, 253 nt
Filed under: uncultured bacterium
Lineage: Bacteria
Description: partial 16S ribosomal RNA
Rfam family: Bacterial small subunit ribosomal RNA
Source: RNAcentral
UACGUAGGGUGCAAGCGUUAAUCGGAAUUACUGGGCGUAAAGCGUGCGCAGGCGGUUUUGUAAGUCUGUCGUGAAAGCCCCGGGCUCAACCUGGGAAUUGCGAUGGAGACUGCAAGGCUUGAAUCUGGCAGAGGGGGGUAGAAUUCCACGUGUAGCAGUGAAAUGCGUAGAUAUGCGGAGGAACACCGAUGGCGAAGGCAGCCCCCUGGGUCAAGAUUGACGCUCAUGCACGAAAGCGUGGGGAGCAAACAGG